AACGCUAGCUACAGGCUUAACACAUGCAAGUCGAGGGGCAGCAUCAUUAAAGCUUGCUUUGAUGGAUGGCGACCGGCGCACGGGUGAGUAACACGUAUCCAACCUGCCGACAACACUGGGAUAGCCUUUCGAAAGAAAGAUUAAUACCGGAUGGCAUAGUUUUCCCGCAUGGGAUAAUUAUUAAAGAAUUUCGGUUGUCGAUGGGGAUGCGUUCCAUUAGGCAGUUGGCGGGGUAACGGCCCACCAAACCAACGAUGGAUAGGGGUUCUGAGAGGAAGGUCCCCCACAUUGGAACUGAGACACGGUCCAAACUCCUACGGGAGGCAGCAGUGAGGAAUAUUGGUCAAUGGACGAGAGUCUGAACCAGCCAAGUAGCGUGAAGGAUGACUGCCCUAUGGGUUGUAAACUUCUUUUAUACGGGAAUAAAGUGAGCCACGUGUGGCUUUUUGUAUGUACCGUAUGAAUAAGGAUCGGCUAACUCCGUGCCAGCAGCCGCGGUAAUACGGAGGAUCUGAGCGUUAUCCGGAUUUAUUGGGUUUAAAGGGAGCGUAGGCGGGUUGUUAAGUCAGUUGUGAAAGUUUGCGGCUCAACCGUAAAAUUGCAGUUGAUACUGGCGACCUUGAGUGCAACAGAGGUAGGCGGAAUUCGUGGUGUAGCGGUGAAAUGCUUAGAUAUCACGAAGAACUCCGAUUG
RNAcentral lists this ribosomal RNA (693 nucleotides) under uncultured bacterium. RNAcentral describes it as "bacterial SSU rRNA". It matches the Rfam family "Bacterial small subunit ribosomal RNA", at positions 32 to 715 of the family's 1533-position model. The record is from RNAcentral.